Pezoporus occidentalis (night parrot) is the source of this 2627-nucleotide long non-coding RNA. RefSeq lists it as uncharacterized. The record is from RefSeq and is a predicted model, not a curated record. NCBI's taxonomy places the organism in Eukaryota, Metazoa, Chordata, Aves, Psittaciformes, Psittacidae. The transcript has 5 exons.
CUGUUGCGGAAGGUGAUGGAUUUAUAAGGUGAAAGCUGUUGGGAGUGAUGAAAGGUUGUGCUUGUAGCUUAGAGAUAAACACGUGGAAGGAAAAUAUGCAAGUAUGCAGAUGGAGUGGAUGUUUGGACUAAUCCAGGUUCUGUGGGUUUUGCUUGUGAUGGAAUUUGGGGUUAGCAGUCCUGACAGCAUUAAAUCCCUUUUUAUCUCUUCCUCUCUUUGUUAUAAUUUGCAUUGAAUUUGCAGCACCAUACUGUCAAAGUGUGGGGCCAAAUUCAGCUGCUGCCGGAGGCACAAAGGAGAUCUUUAAGCCACCAAACACUUGAAUCGUGGUCAUCCUCAUCUCAGGACAAGCAUUUCUCACCUCGGAGGUGAUGCUAUAGAGACAUUUGGCAACACUGCAAAGUCUAUCAUCCUGUCCUUGUGCUUCUAAAAUAUCACUGGUCCAUACCCAAACAGAGGAGCCAGUUGCAAAGAAGGCUGCCAGCAUAACUGUCACCACAUAGCUACAUAGGUAUAGCCUUUUGUGCCGCUGCUUCAAGGAGAAGGGGAUUUUGAGCUUCCCGUAAGACUUUCUUAAGGUACUGCUCAACUGCAAGGAAAGAAAAGUGCUCCCUCGUGCUGAUAGUUAACACUGGAGAUGGUGUGUUAAUCCUGAGAAAUCAGUGUUCCUGAUUUAGCUGGGCAUUGCUUUACAUGCCCAAGCACCCUUAUGUGUAUCCUCACUGAAGGUGCUGGGUACAGCUCUUUAUCCCACUCCUGUGUGCCUGCAGGGUGUUGCUCAGUUUAUAGCAGUGUAACUGUAUCAUUUCAGGUUGUGUCUCAGGCAGAGAGCUGUAUUCAUGGGAUGCUGUACCUGGUUUGGAGGUUGGAGUAAGCAGAACCAGCACUGGGGCUUGGGAGGGGUUGCACGAGGCCUUCCCUGGGAUUCAGCACUACUUGUGUGGAGGUGAUCCAGGAGAGUGAAGCCAUUGAGCUGGGCAGUGGAAACACAGCUGGAGGGCAAUGCCUGAUCCAUGGAGUGCAUGCCUCAGCCCUGCUGAAGGUCUGGUAAUAGAUCUGAGACCACACCACCUGGAUGCAGAACAUGGCCUCACAGAGCAGCCUGUGAGCCCUCUGCAGCACGGCCAUGCUCCUUCCUGCCUCUCCUUUUCUCCAUGGCCUCACUCUGAAAGCAAUGCAGGAUGAAACAGUGGUGCUGAGCUUAAGCCUAUCCCUGGAGCUGCCUGUCAUGAUGGAGAGUGAUGCAGAGCUCCUGGGAGGCAUCUGCUUUCCUGCCAGAGCUCCCACUUACACCCCAAAACAGAGGUAAGCAAAACAUCUGCUUUUCUGAGCCUGUAGGACCCACGUUCAGGAUAAGGUAAGAGAACGACUGUCCAUACCUGUGUACGCAUCAUUGCAGGCAUAAAGGACAGCACUUAAGGGGAAUAUACAGAUCAUAUAUACAGACAUUUUCCACCAGGCUAUGGGAUUUCUUUAGAGCUCCAAAUGAUUAUAGCUGAAGAGGGUUUCUCCAGCAGUUUAAGUUACUGGAUGUAAUUAAACAAGAUGUAGGCCAUCCUUUGUGCUGGGAAAGCUUCCUGAGGGAAUCUGCAAAAUGGGAUGCAGAAUAUAACCCACAGAGUAAAUAUACCAUUCUUCUGUGCAGCCUUUCCCCUAGGAGGAUUAGAGACCCCCAGGAUUCAUCCCACAUAAGCUGUUCAGUGGUAAUGCUGGGUGUGAUGGGCAAUUACCAGCUGCAGAAGCAGACACCAUGUAGCCAGCUCAUCUUCAUUGAUCCCAAGGAUGAGUUUGGACCUUUGUGACUUGUGGCCUAUUUCUGAUAACAUGAAUGAAUUUGCAGACAGGAGGAAGAAGUAUCCUGCUUUUCAGGGUGAUGGGAGCCAUAUCAGUCUGUGAUUCAUUCUGUGGUUCGAUGAUUUUUAGGUGGUGCUGCUGAAAAUGUCAUUUCUUCUUCUUCUGCAACACUGGCCUGAUGGUUCAGUUUCAUUGUUUCCAGAGGGGACACUGGCAUUGGAGACUGGCCCCUUCAAUAACUUGAGGCAUCUUUUGAAUAUGUCCUUCCCCAACCACCUCUGUAGCUUAAUGGCAUCAAUUGUGCGUAUGAAUAGAUGAAUUCCAGAUGAGAGACCUGCAUGCCAGCAAGUAAGAGAUCUCACAGGCAUUCCUAUGUGGUUGCUGGCUGUUUACUCUCCUAAUACUUUCUGCUAGUAGAUGAGCUAUAAUAAUUGGGCUGCUUCUCUCCUCCUCCACAAAGUUACUGGCUUUGCAUAAACUCGGCGUGCUCGUGCUGGCUUCAUCAGGGAAUCAGGUCAUGGAGCUGAAAGAUCUGUUCAGAUACCACGGUAUGUUCGACUGCUGCUAUGCUCCAUCCUCCAGGUUGUUUAUUUAAAUAAAGAGGAGCUUUCUGAAGGGCAUGAGCUCAUUUUAACAGGGCUCCCAAAGGGGAUGUCAGGCAUUGGUGGGAUCUGCAGGGCUUGCAGGUCUAGGGUUUCACACUGCCCUAGGUCUCAAAUGCAGCUUAGAUCUGACAUCCAUCCAGAGCAGCUCACAGCCAGCCUAGAUAACGGCGGUUACAGAAACAAAGUGGUUACUGAAUGGAUGCACAGGUCAGUGCAAUGGUUGUUGUU